UGGUGGAGUGAUUUGUCUGGUUAAUUCCGUUAACGAGCGAGAUCGACGCCUUUAAAUAGUUGCAUCAAAAGUCUAAUAUGCAGUGAAGCCAGGGGGGUUAAGUUUGCGGCGAAAGCUGCACUUCUCCCCGGGGGGAUCCGUUGAUGUUUUGAUGUAGUAACUUCUUAAAGGGACUAUCAGUGUUUAACUGAAGGAAGUUGUCGGCAAUAACA
This 212-nucleotide ribosomal RNA is filed under the name uncultured eukaryote. RNAcentral's name for it is "partial 18S ribosomal RNA". It matches the Rfam family "Eukaryotic small subunit ribosomal RNA", at positions 1299 to 1458 of the family's 1831-position model. The record is from RNAcentral.